GAUCCUGGCUCAGGACGAACGCUGGCGGCGUGCCUAAUACAUGCAAGUCGAACGAACUCUGGUAUUGAUUGGKGCUUGCAUCAUGAUUUACAUUUGAGUGAGUGGCGAACUGGUGAGUAACACGUGGGAAACCYGCCCAGAAGCGGGGGAUAACACCUGGAAACAGAUGCUAAUACCGCAUAACAACUUGGACCGCAUGGUCCGAGYUUGAAAGAUGGCUUCGGCUAUCACUUUUGGAUGGUCCCGCGGCGUAUUAGCUAGAUGGUGGGGUAACGGCUCACCAUGGCAAUGAUACGUAGCCGACCUGAGAGGGUAAUCGGCCACAUUGGGACUGAGACACGGCCCAAACUCCUACSGGAGGCAGCAGUAGGGAAUCUUCCACAAUGGACGAAAGUCUGAUGGAGCAACGCCGCGUGAGUGAAGAAGGGUUUCGGCUCGUAAAACUCUGUUGUUAAAGAAGAACAUAUCUGAGAGUAACUGUUCAGGUA
Molecule: ribosomal RNA, 488 nt
Filed under: Lactiplantibacillus plantarum
Lineage: Bacteria; Bacillati; Bacillota; Bacilli; Lactobacillales; Lactobacillaceae
Description: bacterial SSU rRNA
Rfam family: Bacterial small subunit ribosomal RNA
Source: RNAcentral